CAACCCCUGUUUAAAUACCACCUCCGUCCCGUUGCUUCGGCGGUUCGCGCCGCCGGAGGUACCAAAACUCAACUGUUUUUACUUGGCAUCUCUGAGCUUCUAAAGCAAAAAAAUAAGUCAAAACUUUCAACAACGGAUCUCUUGGUUCUGGCAUCGAUGAAGAACGCAGCGAAAUGCGAUAAGUAAUGUGAAUUGCAGAAUUCAGUGAAUCAUCGAAUCUUUGAACGCACAUUGCGCCCGCCGGCAUUCCGGCGGGCAUGCCUGUUCGAGCGUCAUUUCAACCCUCAGCCCCCCCGGGGCUGGUGUUGGGGCGCCCGGCGCCUGACCCUUUAGGCGCCGGGGCCCCCAAGUUCAUCGGCGGGCUCGCCUGGACCCUGAGCGCAGUAGCACUGCCAAACGCUCGGAUCGCCCACGGCGGGUUCCCGGCCGCUAAACCCCCAACUACCAAAGGUUGACCUCGGAUCAGGUAGGAAUACCCGCUGAACUUAAGCAUAUCAAUAAGCGGAGGAAAAGAAACCAACAGGGAUUGCCCCAGUAACGGCGAGUGAAGCGGCAACAGCUCAAAUUUGAAAUCUGGCCCUAGGGUCCGAGUUGUAAUUUGCAGAGGAUGCUUUCGGUGCGGCCCCUUCUGAGUCCCCUGGAAUGGGGCGCCAAAGAGGGUGAGAGCCCCGUAUAGUCGGACGCCAAACCGGUGUAAAGCUCCUUCGACGAGUCGAGUAGUUUGGGAAUGCUGCUCUAAAUGGGAGGUAAAUUUCUUCUAAAGCUAAAUAUAGGCCAGAGACCGAUAGCGCACAAGUAGAGUGAUCGAAAGAUGAAAAGCACUUUGAAAAGAGGGUUAAACAGUACGUGAAAUUGUUGAAAGGGAAGCGCUUGUGACCAGACUCGCGCCCGGCGGAUCAUCCGGCGUUCUCGCCGGUGCGCUCCGCCGGGCUCGGGCCAGCAUCGGUUUCCGGCGGGGGACAAAGGCUCCGGGAACGUGGCUCCCUU
RNAcentral lists this ribosomal RNA (987 nucleotides) under Ophiostomatales sp. RNAcentral's name for it is "eukaryotic LSU rRNA". The stretch from base 453 to 987 matches the Rfam family "Eukaryotic large subunit ribosomal RNA", at positions 1 to 546 of the family's 3401-position model. Lineage: Eukaryota; Fungi; Ascomycota; Sordariomycetes; Ophiostomatales. The record is from RNAcentral.